UUUACCGAACUGUAAUCUUUAGCAGAUAGCAGUCGAUUUUAUUUCCCACCUUCCGGGUGUCAGAAUGUCAUGAAACUUUAAAUCUAGUCUCAUAAAAAUAUUUCUGACAUAUUCUCUAAUUUUCGUAAUUUUCUGACACUGUGCAUUUUCUGCUAAAAUAUCAGCCUCGUCUCUCACAGAAAAUUCUAAAUCUUCUGUUUUCGUUCCGAUUUCAGCACAAGUCAUUUCUAACUUAUAUUUUACCUCUCUAAAUUCAAUAAAAAUAGUAUCUCACACUAUUUUUAUUUAUUUGUACUUUUAUACCAAAAUCUG
Molecule: long non-coding RNA, 312 nt
Filed under: Ananas comosus (pineapple)
Lineage: Eukaryota; Viridiplantae; Streptophyta; Magnoliopsida; Poales; Bromeliaceae
Description: long non-coding RNA (ACOM_LNC030386)
Source: RNAcentral